RNAcentral lists this signal recognition particle RNA (100 nucleotides) under Candidatus Regiella insecticola 5.15. Its description in RNAcentral is "Bacterial signal recognition particle RNA". It matches the Rfam family "Bacterial small signal recognition particle RNA". Rfam says of the family: The signal recognition particle (SRP) is a universally conserved ribonucleoprotein involved in the co-translational targeting of proteins to membranes. The record is from RNAcentral. Lineage: Bacteria; Pseudomonadati; Pseudomonadota; Gammaproteobacteria; Enterobacterales; Enterobacteriaceae.
CUGUUGGUUCUCUCGCAGUACUAACUUGUGAAUUCGGUCAGGUCCGGAAGGAAGCAGCCGUAGCAGGCGAUGUAUGUGCCGAGAUGUAGCUUUCAGAGCU